CAGCAGCCACGGUAAUACAGAGGGUGCGAGCGUUAAUCGGAUUUACUGGGCGUAAAGCGUGCGUAGGCGGCUUUUUAAGUCGGAUGUGAAAUCCCUGAGCUUAACUUAGGAAUUGCAUUCGAUACUGGGAAGCUAGAGUAUGGGAGAGGAUGGUAGAAUUCCAGGUGUAGCGGUGAAAUGCGUAGAGAUCUGGAGGAAUACCGAUGGCGAAGGCAGCCAUCUGGCCUAAUACUGACGCUGAUGUACGAAAGCAUGGGGAGCAAACAGGAUUAGAUACCCCUGUAGUCCCUGUCUCUUAUAC
This 301-nucleotide ribosomal RNA is filed under the name uncultured bacterium. RNAcentral describes it as "partial 16S ribosomal RNA". It matches the Rfam family "Bacterial small subunit ribosomal RNA", at positions 509 to 807 of the family's 1533-position model. The record is from RNAcentral.